GGCCGACUAGCUCAGUUGGUUAGCAGCGUGGUGCUAAUAACGCCAAGGUCGUCGGUUCGACCCCGGCGUUGGCCA
Molecule: transfer RNA, 75 nt
Filed under: Grifola frondosa (maitake)
Lineage: Eukaryota; Fungi; Basidiomycota; Agaricomycetes; Polyporales; Grifolaceae
Rfam family: tRNA
About the family: Transfer RNA (tRNA) molecules are approximately 80 nucleotides in length. Their secondary structure includes four short double-helical elements and three loops (D, anti-codon, and T loops). Further hydrogen bonds mediate the characteristic L-shaped molecular structure. tRNAs have two regions of fundamental functional importance: the anti-codon, which is responsible for specific mRNA codon recognition, and the 3' end, to which the tRNAs corresponding amino acid is attached (by aminoacyl-tRNA synthetases). tRNAs cope with the degeneracy of the genetic code in two manners: having more than one tRNA (with a specific anti-codon) for a particular amino acid; and 'wobble' base-pairing, i.e. permitting non-standard base-pairing at the 3rd anti-codon position.
Source: Rfam by way of RNAcentral